UCCGGUUUGUCACCGGCAGUCUCCUAUGAGUCCCCACCAUCACGUGCUGGCAACAUAGGACGAGGGUUGCGCUCGUUGCGGGACUUAACCCAACAUCUCACGACACGAGCUGACGACAACCAUGCACCACCUGUGCACGGCCCUUACGGACCCACCAUCUCUGGAGGAUUUCCGUGUAUGUCAAGCCUAGGUAAGGUUCUUCGCGUUGCGUCGAAUUAAACCACAUGCUCCACCGCUUGUGCGGGCCCCCGUCAAUUCCUUUGAGUUUCAGCCUUGCGGCCGUACUCCCCAGGCGGGGCACUUAAUGCGUUAGCUACGGCGCGGAAAACGUGGAAUGUCCCCCACACCUAGUGCCCAACGUUUACGGCAUGGACUAC
This 377-nucleotide unclassified non-coding RNA is filed under the name uncultured Actinomycetes bacterium. RNAcentral's name for it is "uncultured actinobacterium contains 16S-23S intergenic spacer region". The record is from RNAcentral. Lineage: Bacteria; Bacillati; Actinomycetota; Actinomycetes.